Molecule: long non-coding RNA, 590 nt
Organism: Ailuropoda melanoleuca (giant panda)
Lineage: Eukaryota; Metazoa; Chordata; Mammalia; Carnivora; Ursidae
Exons: 5
Source: RefSeq, a predicted model, not a curated record
CCAUUCUUUAAUGAGCGCUGACGUGGUAGACUUCGGUGGUGUGCACCGGCCCCGGUCCUGCCUCCCCGGGAGGUGGCCGUGUGGGGCCAGCUGGCCUCGUCAGCCGGGGCUGAAGGGAAGAGAAGCAGGAAGGACUUUCAUGGGAACGAGGGGAGACUCAUUCCACCUGCUGCUUCAGAGCAGAAGACUCCAACCUCCACGGGAAGUCACAGCAAGUCACUUUCGGCCCAGCACAAGAGUCCCGUCAGUUGAUGCUGGCUGUCCCCGCUGUCCUCUCUGUGGUUGGGUUACCGAAGCCCACGUCACUCCUGGAGUCAGUUCUGGGUUAAACUGAAGAGAAGGCCCUGGCAUCCUGGCAACUAACCUAGUUUCUGGCUGUGGAUUUGCUCUAUUUCCUAGAAGAAAAUCAUGCACUAUAUGGACUUUUGUGUCUAGUUUCUUUCACUAUGGACGUACCACCUUCUAUGUGUCCGUCCAUCAGAUGGCACCAUGGCCCUGGCUGUCUCCCAAAUUGGAGACGACUGAAGCCCCACAUCCUGCCGCUGACCCUGUCCUGGAUAUGUCUGUCUGGCGACACCUCUGCCUGCCCC